This 288-nucleotide ribosomal RNA is filed under the name Arthrobacter terricola. RNAcentral describes it as "Arthrobacter sp. JH1-1 partial 23S ribosomal RNA". It matches the Rfam family "Bacterial large subunit ribosomal RNA", at positions 2647 to 2925 of the family's 2925-position model. Lineage: Bacteria; Bacillati; Actinomycetota; Actinomycetes; Micrococcales; Micrococcaceae. The record is from RNAcentral.
GCGCGCGCAGGAAAUUUGAGAAGGGCUGUCCUUAGUACGAGAGGACCGGGACGGACGAACCUCUGGUGUGUCAGUUGUACUGCCAAGUGCACCGCUGAUUAGCUACGUUCGGAUGGGAUAACCGCUGAAAGCAUCUAAGCGGGAAGCUCGCUUCAAGAUGAGAUUUCCACCCACCACGAGUGGGGAAGGCCCCCAGCCAGACCACUGGGUUGAUAGGCCGGAUGUGGAAGACAGGACUAACGACUGUUGAAGCUGACCGGUACUAAUAGGCCAACGACUUACACCACA